GAAGAAGUCAGCAGAGAAAGUGCCCAACCAAGAGGUAAGAGAAACCAUAGAUCUUUGUUGUUUUCAGCCACUAUGAUUUGAGGAGUUUUAUUAAGAAUAAAUAAUAUAAACAAUGAAGCAUAAGAAAUGAUUGACUUUCAGGAAUGAUUUUUGGAUCACAAGCAUAAGUAACAAGCUGGCCAAGUGGUGCCAUUAACAAAGAAAGCAGAACUUGAGUAAGAGGGGAUUCAGAAGUUCCCCCGGUUGGAGAACCUCGGAUCACUCCAGAUUGAGGCAAAGUGUAAUUAGUAUGCUUUGCAAUUAACCUUGAAAGGUUCAUACUUAAGACACACACACACACACACACACACACACACACAUAUAUAUAUAUAUAUAUAUAUAUAUAUAUAUUUUUUUUUUUAAUUUGAGAAAGUAUAGGCCUUGGUUCAUUGUUCAUUAGUUUGAAUUCAUAUUAGACAAAGAAUUGAUCAUUAGCUAAGCUAUGCUUUCUAAUGUUUUGCUUUGGGUUGUUAAUUGUUGUUUAUGUAGAGGAGAGGCAGGGGAAAUGAGGAGGGCAAGAAGGCCCUAGAAGUGGACAGAAAUGGGUACAAACUGAUGUCAAGGAGAAGGGAUGAAACAGGCUGAGGAUGUGGCUUAGUGGUAGGAUGCUUGCCUGUCAUGUGUGAAGCCUUGGGUUUGAUCCCCAGCACUGAAAAAAAACAAACAAAAAAAAAGUGCUAAAUGAGAAUGGAUGGAAACAGUAGGCAGAGAUGCCUAGGACAAGGACAAACUUUGGCUUUGUUAAUCAAAGGAAGCUGUCUGUGCAAGAAUGCUCUGUCAUCCAGUCUGCUUUGCGUAUCUGAUGAAGUAUUUUUUUUAAAACAGAAUGAAUUAUCAUAAAGUAGCUUUUAUUCUUAGUACCUACAUUAAUCCUUCAGUUACUGUUGUUCACUUUUUUAAAACUUUUACUUGCGUUUUUUAGCAGAAUUUGUUCCUGUGCCAUAAUAUUUUGUUUCUUCCGUUUCUUCUGGAAUAGUUUUUGCUUCUGUGGAAACUCCUCUUCUGGCUUGGGAGCGAUUUGUUUCUUUUCAGUGAGGAUCAUCUCAUGUGACAGGGGAAGCUCACAUAUGGGUUAAUCCAGCCACAGGCACUGUAUGUCCAGUGGCACAUCUUGAGGUCUUUGUACACCUGGGUAUGCUCAGUGACCAGAGAAUCUGUAUCUAAGCCCUUCGGUUCAGCAUUUCUCUUUGCAUUUGUAAGCAUGUGUAGCAAAAUGUCAGUACAUUUUUUAAGUAAGCCAUCAACACUGUGUCCAGCCUCACUGUUUGACUUGGAUAUACUCACCAAUUCACCAAUCCACCACUGUAAUGGCAGAAUGACACAUGUUGCUUCUUUAAGGUGAAAUCUUUCAGGUUCUUGGUGGCUUUUCAGAUAUGUAUGUCCUUGAUGACCUGAAAAGUGUCAUAUUUUCUUAAAAUGAAUACAAAGAUAUGAACUGUUGAUUUGCAUGAUUUUGUGGGGUUGUCUGGAUUGAGUCUGCAUAGCAAACCAUUCUUAGAGAUCACCUCAGGCUAUUAAUAAGAAAAAGAACAGCCUGUCAUUUUUUUUUAAAGUGAGAAGAACCCAUAUGAUUUUUUUUGGGGGGGUUACAAUAUUAGCACAUUGAAUCAUAAAUGAAUUUUAAAAAGUCUUUGCUAAAUAAUAUUUAUAAGUGUUUUUUUUCAGAAAAUUUUAUCUAGCAUACUAAUAUCAGUUGCAAUGUUGUUAUAGCCACUCGUUUUAUGUAACUAUAAGAAAAUUUCACUUUUGCAGCAACAAAGUCACAGAAAUGAAUUAUUAGAGAUUAAUAUGUCACCAAUUUCCAAUAGGCUGGAAAUGCAUGCCCAAUGCCCUGGUUUUUUUCCCCCAAUCACCAUGAGAUUUAGUACAGAAAAGAGAAGAUCCCUUAUGAAUGAUGCAUUUCUAUUAGAAUAGAAAAUUCCAGUGUCAAGAAGAGAUAAAAUGAACUUGUGCAUUAUCUCCCUUGCACAAAAGAUACCUAUCUUGGCUUGGAUAUUGACUUUGGUGUUCAAAGUGUACAGUUUAUACAUUAGUUUGACCACAUAACCUAAGAGAAAAAACUCAUGAUAUAUCCAAAGCUAAAUUUAUCUGGAACCGUUUCCAAAGAUAAGAUAAUGUUAAUAAAAGAGGGAAGAUAAAUUAAGAAAAUUAAUAAUAUAUUUAUUUGAUUUUUAAACAGGAGGGGAAUAUAACAUCACUUUAGUUUUCUUUUGAUUUCCUUUAACAUGCACACACAAACUAUGGAAUACUCAGUUAUGAAAUUAUUACAUUUGUCAGAAAAGUGACUUUAUCAUGUGUUGAAGAAAUACUCAAAGGAACAUAAACUUCUGUUUUCUUCCCUAAAGAAAAAUAAAGUAAUGUGAUGUAAAAAAGAGUGUUCCCAUUCAAGCCUUAUAAGAAUUGACCUUAGCCCAUAUUUGUCCCUGUGAAUUUUCCUUACAAAAUCAUAAGCUUAAUCAUAAGCAGAGCAUACCCUUCCCUUGACUUUACAUGUCUGAUACUACCUAGUACAGAGCCACCAACACCUGACAAGAUCAGUGAAUGUUGGCUGAAGUCACCAUUUUGUUCCUCAAGUCUUAGCUCAGGGCUUAUAGGCUUGCAAUUAUUGCAGUAAAUGUGAGGAUUACCGUUUAGGCACAAUCCUCCCCUUUAAAGGACUGAAAGCUCUCUUAGGGCACAGAAAGUGUUCAUGCAAGUCACUGCUUUACUCCCAGGGACAAGUGCUGGAGUAUGGCAGCUGCGUAGUAUUUCCAGCACAAUUAGCAUGUAUGGACAGAUAAAGAAAGACCUGCAGUGCCCCACCUCUCUUGGGGGAAGGAAGGACACAGACACAAGAGGUGCUUCUCUCUUUGCAAAUGGUAACUCACAUCCUACCACCAUCUUUCACAUUGACAAAAUUAGUGACCACAUUAUUCUGUUUGCAAUUCUGAGUCCCAGAAAAGUGUGUGGGUUUCACUAUCCUUGGAUCUUUCAAUGUUGUAGAGUGUGGUUGCCUAGUAAAAUACAAGAUACUCUGUUAAAUUUGAACUUCAGGUACGCAAUAAGCAUACUAAGAAGUGUAGUAAAUCAGAAAUUCAAAUUUCAUUGGGCUUCCAGUGGUUUGAUUUGCUAAAUAUGGCAACCAACCAUAUUUAAAGCUAUUUUCUGAACCGAACUGGGAAGACUCUAUCUGGCCCUGAAAAUUAUCUGCAGGUUCAGGGGGCUUUCUCCUCUGAGUUCUCCUCUCCAUGAAGGUCAAUGCCCAGUGUGGAAUCAUGGAGUGGAAAAAGUUCACUCUUAGAGUCCCAAAGUCCUCUUUUCAGAGAAGCAUUCAGAAAACUCCCUUGCAUCUUAUUUCCUUUCUGACCACAUUCAAUCUCAUAAAAAUACAAACAAACAAACAAACAAACAAAAAACACUAUAUCACACAUUCAUUCCUACAUGGCCAACAAAGUUAAUGUUUUACCCCUAUCAGAGGCAUUUAUACUGCAAUUGGGUACCAUAAUAAUAAUUGGCAAGUAAUUAUGAUUGUGGAAUUUGAGAAUUUCUCUAAAUUGUUACUGGAGGUAGUUUUAAGGAUAAAAUUAUUUCUCUUCUCUUAAAAGUAAACAUUUAACGUUAAACUGUUUGUCAGCUUUUCAUUGACGUGACCAAAAUACCUGAUGUAAACAACUUCUAAGAGAGAAAAUUUAUUUUGACUUAUAGUUUCAGAAGUUUCUGUCCAUGGUUGGCCAGCUUCAUUGCUAUGGGGCUGAGAUGAGGCAGAGUAUCAUGAUGGAAGGCUGUAUUGGGAGAAAACUGCCCAGCUCAUGACAACCAGUAAGCAGAGAGAGGAGGAAGGGGUCAGGAACAAGAUAUAGUUCCCAAAGGCAUACCACCAGUGGCGUACUUCUUCCCACAAUACCUAUAAUUUCGGCCAUCUCUCAAUAAUCCCUUCAGAUAACAAUGAAUUAAUCUACUGAUGAGAUCAGAGUCCUCAUGAUCCAAUUACAUCCUAAAAGCCCCACCUCUGCACAUUGCUGCGCUGGGGACCAAGUCUCAACACAUAAGCUGUAGAGGGACAUUUCAUACCCCAACCAUAACAGUGUUUGAUUACUAUAUCCCUCCUGUCUGAGUACAGGUAAAUGUGGUGUUCAGAUUCCAGGAUCCUGGUGGAUACUAAGGGGAAAAGGACUACUCAGUUGUUCAAGACUCUUUACUGCACAACAAGAGAAGAAAACCAGAGCCCUAACUUAAAAAUAAAUAAACACAUUCAUGGAGUACAUUUCCUUUGUUAGUGUUCCUGUUGCUAAGUGUUCUCACAUGUCGUUCUCGGAAAACUCCUGUGAGGUGGAUCAUAUUAUGUACAGAUUUUAGAUGAUGUAAUCAAAGUUCAGAGACAUUAAGUGACUUGCCCCAAGCUAGAGAGAUUGUAAAUGGCAGGGCUGUGAUUCAAACUCAGGUUUUUUGACUUUAAGGCCAGUGAUCUUUUUGUCAUACCAUAGUGGCCAGCUAUUCUGUAUCCCCCUGCUUGGGAAGCCCCAGGUUCCCCUCGUAGCUAUGGAGUGUGGGUUUGGGGUGUGGUUGUUUAGUAGUAAAUGCCCCGUGGUUAAAGGACUUGAUUGCAAAGUUUUGAGAAAAAAGCAAUAAUGCCAGAUUCUUUCAGUGUCACAGAUGGGAAAAUGAUUCAGAAUCAUAUGCUCUUGGGCAACCAAAUUUGGUUGCAAAUUUUUCUUUCAAGAAGUUGAUUGCUCUUUAUCCAUGAGUAAAGCCACAGCAGAUGAGAGAUCAUGACACUACCAUUGAGAUCCAUUUGCAAGGCUGUGUUAUUGGGCAGUUAAAGGGGAAGUGAAGCAGAUUCAUGAUGUAAGGGAACUUCGUCUUUGGUGCCCUUUCUUUGACCCUUAAUUUAAGACAAUUUCUUUCUCCUUUGUUGUCCUAGUAGUAUAGGGGCCUGGUUGGCAAUUUAUAAGGAAUCUGAAAGAUUGUUCUACUAUCUUGUUAAAUCAAGAGGGCUCAAAAUGGAACCUCUUCUUGGGAUAUAAGAAUUUUUAUAGGGAGUAUAUGCAAAAGGAUUGAAGAAUUGAAUUUCUAAAUGGUGGUAUCCUAAUAUACAUAAAUGAAUAGGUAUUUGGGGAUUUAAAAAAAAAAAGCCGUAUGACCAGACAAGAGUGAUUGUAUAGUAGAAUUAGAUAUUUUAUCUUAAGGUUAAUAUUAUUAAAUUAAUAAGUCAAAGUUAGGUCCCUAUGAUUUAAAGGUUUUAGAAAUAUGGUUAAAACAAAUAAGCAAAAUUUAAAAUAUGGACUUAAAUGCAAAAAGUCAAUGAAUGUUGGGAUGAAUUUUUAUCUGUUGGAAAUUUUCCCAUUUGUAAAAUAGGAAUUCAGGGAUCAUGGUUUAAUAUGCUUCAUCUUUAUGAAAUAAAUAAGAAAGACCAAACUAUUGGAUUUGAUGCAGAAAUUAAUGGGGGGGGGCAUUUUAAUGCUGGAUUUCUUGAAAGAAAAUUAUCUGGAGACACUGGAAUUUUGUACUGUGGGAUAUCACUUAACUGGGAUGUGCUAAAGAGCCAAGCUGGGGAGUCACACAGACUUUUGUUCUGAGGUUGUAUCAGUUAUUUAACUUCUUUAUACUGAAGUUUUCUACUCUGUAAAAUAGGAAGAGAAUUAUAUAACUGUGUUAUUUGAAGAAAAUUCUAAUAAUCAAAUUGAGAUGUUAUUUUAGAAAUACCCAGUAAAUGGACACUUAAGAAUUCAGUGAAAUUCUAAACUGCUCCCUUUGCUUCCUCAUUUUAAUAAACAAUUUGUAACUAAUCCUGCCUAAAUAUAAUAAAGUGUUUCUAUAGUUUCCAGAUCAAAGCCAGGCCUUCUAACAGUGAAAUGAAAGUAGGGUUCAGCCAAAAACCAAGCCUAUGAAAAAUUGUGUGUGGUUGAAUAGUCUUAACCCUAAUGUAUCUGUACUAUGAUUUCAUAUUGAGUUGUGAAAUUGGCAUAUUUAUCUGGGAUACAGAGGAGGAAUCAAUUCCAUGGAACAUAAGUCAAAAACAUCCAGUAGGCAAAGCUGUUUAUAUUCCAAGUGUGGACUCACAACGUAAAUUUUAAUUCUUCAAUCAUCAUGUAUAUUAUUAUAUAUGCUAUAAUAUAAUAUACAUGAUAUAGAUUAUAACAUAUACACUGAUAUGCAUUUAUAUAUUAAUAUAUUGUAUAUAUGAAUAUAUUAUACAAUUAUAUAACGUUAUGUAAUUAUAUAUAACUGAUAUAUACAUAAAACAGAUAUAUAAAUUCAAGAAACCUCACUAAGCAUGCUUUUAUUGGCAGCAGCUUGUAUUGACGUAUUAAUAGCAAUAAUGAUAGCCUAUUUCCUGAAUGGAAGAAACCCUUUUGGUACUUUGCCAAGGUCCUGAUGCUUAAAACGGUAGAGCAGGGGGGUGAGGAUGCAUUUGACAGAAUGAACUGGUGAUCCAUGGCAAAUCACUGUACUUGGUGAAAUAUGUACCAAAAAAUAAGAACCACUGGACAUGUACUAUCUUUAUGGAUAGUUUCUAUCUCUUGAAAUAGAUCAAAGCAAAACCAAGAUGCUGAAAAAGAAAAUGAAAUCAUAGGAUUUGAAGGCCUGGUGAUGUAGCACCUUGAAGCUGUUUUGAGGACUUUGCCUUUUACUUGGAGUGAGAUGAAGAAUCAUCGAAGGGUUUUCAACAGAAAAGUGUCAUGAUCUGACAUGUUUUAGAAUAGACUAUAAUGAACAAGAACUGAUACAGGCAAUUUUGUUAGGAGUCUCUUAAAUUAGGUAGGUGAGAAAUUGUGUUCUUGGACCAGAGUGAUGGCAGUGGAGGUAAGAUCAUGAAAUUAUUUUGAAGAUAGAGCCAGUAGGGUUUUUUAUUGGGUUAAGUAUGAGAGUAAAAGAGAAAUGAAGGAUAAUCAUAAAAUUUCUUCCCUAAUUCAACAAAGGAUGUUGACUCUAACUGAGAUGGGGAAAUCUGUGAAGAAGUAAAAUUUGGGGAAGAGUAUAGGGAAUAAAAAAUGUGAUUUUAGUCUUAUUAAAUUUGAGAUGCUUAUUGAAAUUUUAACUGGCAAGUCAAGGAGUGAUGGAUAAAUAAAUUGGGGUGAUGAGACAUAAAUUUAUAAUUGUCUAUGAAAUAAGACAUCAAACAAAAUAAGAUACUCAAAGAAUAAGAGAAGAUCUUAAGACUUAGCCUUCAGACUCUCUUACAUCUAAUAAGCUGAUUUGGAGGGGCUUCUGAAGAAGAUUGGGAAGAAGUGGUCAGUGGGGAAGAAGAAUCAAGUGAGAGUUUCAUCCUAGAAACCAAGUGAAGAAAGUGUUUUAAGAAGCAGAAAUAGAUCAACUCUAGCAAAUGUUGCUAGUCAGAGAACUACAAUUAUUAGGCAAUGUGCAAAUCACUGGUGGGUUUGACAAGUUGUUAAAACUGGAAGAGUGGAAACAAAAAGCCUCGUCCUUAACCUUUGCAAGUUCUAGAACAAAAGUACAAUUUGAGGUCAACAAAUUGUUUAUCUAAAUUUUUUAAAUGGAAAAUCAAGAUAGUAAAUAGCAGACAUCUUGUGACCACAGGCAAUUAACAUGACAGAAAAGCCAAGAAAAUAGCAGAAACAAUGGCCUUGAAGUAAUUUAACUACUAAACCAAGGCCAGCAGCCCCAGUCUUUCCACCAACCUUAGCAAGAAAGAAGGACCAGUUCUCACCUCCAUUGCUACCUUGGCAAACUCCUGAAGGCACAGUGUGGGUCUGUACUGAUCUCAUCCUAAGUGUACACACACAGACAGCAGCCUUGCCAGUGGGUUAAAAUACAAGCUGCUUGGCUUUGGGGGGCCUUGAGUGUUUGUGGGAGUUGUUUGGGAACAGUUGCCUUGGGACCCAUAACAUGGAAGAAGACAUGAAACCUGUAGCAGGUGAGCUGGGGUGCAUCCCCACCCCCAGAGAGAAAGGGGAGCCUCAGAUACUUCUGUGGUCUAGAGUGAGCUCCCAGUCCUUUCUGGGCAAUCCUAAUCUCACACUGUAAGGUUUCUAUUAUUUGUGGUGGAAUAAAUUCUGAUUCAUAGGCAUUUGAUAAGUAUUCAUUACAAGUCUGCCUAUAGAAAAUGGCAUGACAGAAUGACAGGACAGAAUAUGACAUGACAGAAUAUGCAUUUACAUUAUGUAUAAUAUGGUAUAUAAAAGCUAUAAAAGUAAUGUCCUUAGUAGGAUUUCAUGUCUAUAGGUAUGUAUGGAAUAUAUGUAUGCAUGUGUGUAUUGAGCAUGUGUCAAGAAUAUAUAGGCAUAUGUACUGAGAAAAAUGUUUACAACAUUUUGUAAACUGUUACAAGAACAGUUUACAAAAUGAAAAUGGUGAUGAUCUCUGGGCUAUAUGAUUUUUCAGAUAGCUUUUGUUGUCUUAUUCAUUUUUCUUGAUUUGAUUUUUUUAAAUGAUUACAUUAAUUUUAGGACUAGCAGUGAUUAGAAGUUUUAGGAAGGAGAACAAAUGGAAUAUAGAUGAUUAUGAUUAAUAGAUAAGGUCAUACUAUAUGACUUAUCCACAUAUGAAAAUAAAACAUACUUACCAGACUUUUCCCUACGUUUUUUUUUUUUGGUGUGGAAAAAAAAAAACGUUGUAAGUACAUGGUUAUAGUUUUAUGUUUCUUAACCAAACUGAACUAUUUUAGCACAUAUCAAUGUUUUUCAAUUUAUUUUUUGUUAAUUUUCUCAUAUACAUUUAGUCUUAAUCUCUACUCCAACCUCAAAAUUUUAAUACUAGACAUAUACUUGGUUUAUGUGCUUUUGCCCUUUGAAGGUCCAUAGACUAUUGUAAUACAACGGGUUUUUUCAUUGUUGUUUUGCCUCUUUGGGGGUAAUGUCAACCCUGUUGAGAAGGCUGAUAUCAGCCAUGAACAUUUCAACUGUCUUGCCAUUAAGAAAAUGCUCAAAAGAGGGGGAAUGUACUUCCUUUUUAUCCUUCAUACAGUUGUCUUCAUACCUUUUCUUCCAGUAUAACACUUUGCUUCUAGCAAACACUUGAAGCUUUAUUGAAUGUCUAAGCACUAAAAUAUUAGUUCAGCUUUAAUCUAAGAAGCUAUAUCACCACCAGCUCAUUCCAAAUUUCAACUUCUUAAGCCUGCAGAAGACACCCUUCUCUUUAAGCCCCAAAUCUUAUUUCAAGACUUCUUUCCAAAUUCCUGCUCAAAUCUCAUAUUUUGCAUUCUCCCUACCAGUGUUUACUGAGUAUCACAGGAAGUUAUUACUUAUUCCACAAAUCCACAGAGAUUUGUGCUUGCCAGGGCCAUUUCUGAUGAUGGCUCUUCAUUCCUUUGCUCUCUGCAUCUUGCUGCCCCCUAACAGUGCCUCUGUCUGCUUCCCCUCCCUUCCCCCAGUACUUAAUUCCAAUCAUAAAAUGACACUGGGUUGUGGUUUUAGCAUAGCCUUCUUAAUGCCAAGGACAUCCCAGGAAUUAUAAUGCAGACCAGAACUUGAUACUGUUGCAGCGACAGUGGUCACUACUCAAGGCCAGGUUUCCAGAGACAGUGUGCUCUACUGGGUGACUCUUCUGAGGCCCAACACAUUGCUGGGGCCAGUGUCAGACAAUCCUCUUCAGGUAUCUUCUUCCUUCCCUUCCUCUUUGGGUAUUGCCAGAGCCCAAAACUUUUCUGCUUUCAGCCUAACCUAAAGGAAGGAAAACAUCAGCAUAAAUAACCAAACAGAAAAACCAGACAAAUGUAUGAUUGUCCUUGGGCCAUUUUAGGCCUCAGAUGAAGACUGCUUUUUAUAUCAUGGUGCAAAUGGGCUAAAGGCUCAGUCUGAACAUGUCUGCAUUCAAAUCCUUCAUUGAAACAGAACUUUUGUGAACACAAAGUCUAACUCUACAUUUCUUCCAUCUUGUGUUCACUGAACAAAUAUUUAUUAAGUGUUGACUCUGUGCCAGGUACUCUGCCAAGUAUUCAGGGUACCUGGUAAAUAAUACAGAUAUGUCCACUGUCCUCAUAGAACUUAUAGUCUUAUUUGUCCCUUCCUUAUAAAUUAGAGAGCCUGUCGUAAGAACCAAGCCCAAUUUUUACUCAAAAAUGAAGAAACCACUUACUCAACUCCACUGUUCAGGAUAAGACACCAUCUCUCACAUUAGAAAGUGCUUCCUUGUGGUGUUAGUAGUGAGAACUCCUUAAGGGAUUAAUCUCUAAUUAUAUCAGUAAUAAAUAGCUUAGUCUAAGCAAAGUGUUUUUUGAAUACAAGGUUAUAGGAGAGACUACAGAGGAAAUAUCUGAGAGCUUAAACACAUAAACAUACACACACCCACAUACUCCUGAGUCAUAUGGUCAAAGAUUCAGAGAGGGUAUUAGGCAUGGGGUGGAGGGAGCAAGGAAUCUGCCAUUUAUAAAAAGUUCUGGGAAAUUCUAAUCAUCUAAUCAUCAAGAUUUGGAUAGCAAUCCAGUGGUAAGAUCAAGUGACUGUGUUUUUCAUGAUGGUCUAAGGAUUUAGGGAACCAGUGCCCCUUGAGAUUCCAUCUGUCCAUAAUUGUCCUCCUGCCUCAUUCUGAUAUAUGGCUGAGAUGCAAUUACUAUUGCUUUCUCAAGUACAGAAACUUGAUUGUCUUCCCCAGAUCAUGCACACAGUGAACCAUGGUGGAGGUCAGUGUCCAUCUUUUAUAGAAGGCCUAGAAGAAUCUUGCAUACAACACAGCAUGGGAAUUCCAGAAUUUUUGAUUAUCUAUAAGUUGCUUAUUCCUAUAUUUAGUAAAUAGUAAACUCCUAUAGACCCUUUCUUCAAUUCCUUGGUGGCAGUUUUUUUCACCAUCAUUGGAGAAGGUCAACUGUGGACACUGGAGGAAAAAGUCCCACCCCUGGUACUUUCUCUUAGUCACACAAAUUUCAGGGAUUUGGAAUUUGUCUGGAUUCUAAUUAGACUUGCCUCUGCCCAGGCUCCAGUCCCAAAAGCAAAAGAAAUGGUUGGAUUCAGACUCUGUUCAAUCUCUAGCAAGAGCCUGAAAAGUAAGUACACAUUGCCAAAACUAGGGCUGUAUUUUUUACCCAAGAGACAACAUAUUAAGAAAGUUCAGUCCUCUUGUAUACAUGUCUUGGAUAGAAUUCCUGGCCUAAAAAUAACCCUGGCAUGAUUGGGCUGUAGAGCAUCUGAUUUCUUUCUGGGCCUGGCUUCUUUCAGAAAUCACUUCAUUAGUUUCACAUGGCUUUAUCUUAGCCAUCCUGAUGAUGGCACCCGCUACACUUAAAUUACUUUUAUACUUUUCCAAUUAAAAGUGUUUUAAUCAUAAAAUAUUUCAAUAUACAUUGGGCAUUUUAACAUUGAAGUAACAUGAAUCGAAAUUAAAUUUAAUUUAAUCUUCACGAAUUAUGAUGGGUGUGCUUUUUAUAAUAUAAGGUUAAAUUAAAAAUAAAAACUAAUUCUUAUUAGAAGAAGUAAGAAGGAAGUGAUCUUGAUUUUUUCCCCCAUCAUGUAGUGUCCUGCAUUAUCCAGUAAAUGAAACUGAACUAUGUUAAUGCUGCUUGUUUUAAAAAAUAAAUGAAGACCACAUAGAACAAGAUCUAUUUAUGGAUUUUUAAAAAUGUUGAAUGUGAGGGGGAAAAUACAUUCUCAAGAAACAGUUGUCAAAAAGAAGUCUGGGCUGGGAUGUGGCUCAGAGGUAGAGCACUAGCCUACCAUGCAUGAGGCACUGGGUUCGAUACUCAGCACCACAUAAAAAUAAAAUAAAGAUACUGUGUCCACCUAUAACUAAAAAAUAAAUAUUAGAAAAAUAAGUCUACUUGUUCCUUGCUAUCAAAGGACCAGUGACAUGAUUAAGGUAAUGACAACUGCAAAUACGGGGGAAGCUGUCUCAUAAGUUAGCAAAUAUGGAUUUGAGUUUGGGAAAUCCAAAAUGCACAUUUAGAAAAACCCAUCAUUAUGAAGCAGUUUGCAGUUGCUUCAUGAUGUUACUAGGUUGCAAAACAUGUAGCACAAAGCAGAAUAAAAACACCUAAAGUUUUCACUUGGCCACUGCAAAAAUUUUGUUCCUCUUGGACACAUGAGCAUUUUGGUGAUAUAAAGUAUGCAAAAUGAAGCUGCAGUAAUCUAAAGGAUCUACACGGGGAAGAAGAAGAACAUGACCAGUGGUUUAAGUUGAUUCUGUUUCCUCUUUAUUGUUUCUUCUGAUUGCAAAAUUUGUGCAUUUCUUAUAUAAAGUGAGGAAGACAAAGCAAGUGAUGACGAGGAAAUACAGUUCUCACAAUUCUUUCCUUUUGAAAUACCCACUUUAAAAAAAAAAUGACCCCUGUUAAUGUUUUUUCAGUGAUAUCUUAUGGACAUUCUCCUACACAAUUCUUUAAAAACCUCAUUUUCUGUCACUGUUUUUAAAUUAUUACACAUAUCAUUAUUAUAAACAAUUCAAACAAUGGGCAUACAUACCCAUUAAAAAGUCUUUCAUGAUAGGGCCUGGGGCUGUAGCUCAGUGGUAGAAUGCUUGCCAAGGAUCUUGUUUAACUCUGCCAAAAAAAGAAAAAAAAAGCCUCACUUUAAAAAAAAUUUGGCAUUAUAAUUAUACAUAAUGGUGGGACUCAUUAUGCUAUAUUCAUUUAUGCACAUAACAUAAUUUGAUCAAUCUCAUUCUCCAAUACCUUUCCUUUCUUUCCCCUCUUGCUUCCCCACUCACUUGCUCUACUCUCCUGAUUUUCCUUCUGUUAUUGUUUUUAUAAAUUAAUUAAGUUUUUAUUUAUUUUUUAGUAGGGAGGAUUGAACCCAGGGGCACUUAACCACUGAGCCACAUUCCCAUCUCUUUUUGUAUUGUUUCUUUAGAGACAGGGUCUCGCCGAGUUGCUUGGGGCCUUGCUAAGUUGCUGAGGCUGGCUUUGAACUCUAAAUCCUCCUGCCUCAGUCUUCCUAGUGCAUUAUAAUUAUAUGUAAGGAUAAGUGCUAGGUAUGAUGGUGCAUGCCAGUGGCUUGAGAGGCCGAAGCAGGAGGAUUAAGAAUUCAAAGCCAGCCUCAGCAAUGUAGUGAGUGAGCUCUGUCUCUAAAGAAAAAACACAAAAAGAGCUAGGGGGUGUGGUAAUUGCCCCUGGGUUCAAUCCCCAGUACAAAAAAAAAAAAAAAAAAAGUUCUAUGUAAGCCUCACAUUCCUGAUUAACAAUUCCAAUACAAAUUUAUUUCACUUUUCAAACUGCUUAGAAUGUAUUCUUCCAGACAUUGUAUAUGUAAUCACUUUUAAAAUAAUCAUCUUACUAUGCUCUUGUUUUUUACUUGUUCACCUAAUAAAAUUAAUUUGAUGUUAAAUUGAUGACUCCCAGUGAAUCAUGCCUACUUUCCUUUCUGGGCCUGGCUUCUUUCAAAAAUCACUUCAUUAGUUUCACAUGAAUUUAUACCUUGUGCUGUCACCUUCUGCACCAUCUGGCCACAUGUCUUGCUUUGGUCAUUGGACAAUACCCAGUUUGAUGCAAGCAGAAGUUUAAUAAAAAUUUGCACCUUGGGGCUCAUCUUUUUGCUUCACUUCCUCUUGACACCCAGCUACCAUGCUAUAAGUUAGAUGGUCUAGACUUCUGGAUGAAAAGAAACUGCCUGGAUGGGAAUUGGGGUUAUACCAACUGAGAUGUGAGUGAUGUUCCCGUCCCAAGAUCAACUGUCCGCUAAAUGAAGUAUUAUGAGUGACACUGGCUACCAUUAAAAAGAACAGAGUGACACCGCUAGCCACUCCACGGAAUCCUGAAGUAUAACAAAUUCAGAGUUAAAUUUCAGUAGUUAUGCAGAGAUCAUUAACUGAAACAAUAAUAUUUCCAGUGCAUUUGUAUCUAUCUCAUUCUUUUUAAUUUCUGCUUAGUAUUCAGUUAUGGGAGUAUGCAAGCACUUUUUAAAUUAGCUUCUAUCUAAAGAUUAUUUUGCUUAUUUGCACCAAUAACAUUACAAUGGACAUCAUAUUUAACACCAAUACUACUAAAUAUCUUAAUAUACAAAUGUUCACAUAUACCUCUGAAUAUUUUCUUGGAGUGAAUGUUCGAUACCUUUGAAUCAGAGACUAGGCAGUUUUUAAAGUUACUGGUGGGUACUGCCAAAUUUUCCCCAAGAAGAGGUACAAUAUAUUUAUUUUUCAGAAUGGGCAUACCAAAGAUAAGAAGGGCCGCAUGCAAUCACUACUAAUCAGGUUGGACUCUAGCCUGUUUACUUUAGCUAAUUACUUAGUUUCAGGAGGUGAAAGACAAUUAUGAAGAAAAGGGAAAACAAACUUUCAAAGUGUCUGCUGGAAUGGUGAUCCAUCCUGAAUCAGGCAUUAUUGAAGUUGAUAUUUUUAGCAGCUCUUAACACAUUUGGAAAGAGAUUGUGAAAUUGCACAACCUCUUUGGAAGUCAAUUUUUUAAAUAUCUCAUUAAGUUCAAGGUGCAUACACCCUUUGACCCAAGACUCUAAGUGUAGUCUAGAGAAACUCAUAUGUGGGUAUAGGUAGAAAGACAUUUGCAACAGUGUCAUUUGUAAUAGUAAUCCUGUAUGUAAAUGGAAAAGUAAGAUGUUGAUAGAAGUGGACAGUGGGAAUGUUGCUACAGAUCCUUCUGUCAACAUGGGAAAAUCUCACAAACAUAAUGAUAGAAAAGAAAAAAGGAGAAAAAAGAAACCAUGAGAACAGCAGAUUGCAGAAGACUUCCUACCAUGUGAACCCAUUUAACCUUGUUUUGGAAAAAUGAAAAGACUGUGAUGUAUAUUGUUUAGGAAUGCACACCAGAUGGAGUAAAAUUAUCAACAAUGCACAGAAAUAACCUUGAAAUUUGUAAGUGGUGAUGCUGAGGGAAGUAAGGGGAAUAGGAUCAGGCUUCUGCUUUCAGAGGUUUCCAAAGUUUUCAGAUUGUGUUAUUUCUGAAGUUGGGUGGUGGAUACUUGACUUACUGUGCCUUUUUGUACACACAUUUUAUGUCAAUAUUUACAUACUUUUUUUUGUGUGUGUGUGGUGCUGGGGAUGGAACUCAGGGCCUUGUGCAUGUGAGGCAAACACUCUACCAACUGAGCUAUAUCUCCAGCCCUACAUAAAUUUCUAAAGGACAGUGUGGUGGGACAGGUAACAGAAGGUGCUGGUGUCCUGUGUGGUGUACUAUUCCUGGUGCAGAGUCAGGGGAAAUGAAGGUAGCAGCCUGGGGAAUCCCUGCCACACAUGCAGUUGGCUCCUGGGUGUUUGGUCCUUGCUGACUGGUUGUGGAAUCCCCAGUAUUUUGGAAAUAUUUAGAACAUCAAGAAAGUUUUCCAGUAGAUAGGGCAAUUUCUCACUUCCUUUAAUGUACUUCCUAAUGUCUUUGUGUCAUUAUAAUGCAUUCACGGCUCAUUUGGAAAAAUAAUGCAUGGUUUGUGUCUCUACCAGCUGAAGGGUCAAUCUUUCACCUUUCUGUAUGAGGAAAUGGUAGAAGGCAAUAUGGUGUAAUGGGCAGAACAUAAAUUAUAAAGCCAGAUCAUCUUAGAAUUAGAUCUUGGCUUCUCCUCCUAUAAGUUGCACCAACUUGGACAAGGGUUAAGUUAACUCAAGUUUUCUGAUGUCAUGAAAAUCAAAUGAGAUACCUUAUAUAAAGUGAUUAUCACAUGGGGGCUUAGUCGUAUCCUAUUUUUUCUAUAUUUUCUAUAUCCUUUUAAUGGCAUCAGUUAUCAUAGAAUUGAGUGCUUGUAUUUAAAAGCCAGAUUGUAAGUUAUACAUUGAAACCAAACCAUAUAUUGGCAGAUUAUUUGUUUUUCACCUAGCUAAACAAUUAAAAUGCUAUGCUAAAAAAGCCCAUUAGGCCCCUCUUGGAUUGUGCUAUUGAGUAAGCUGUUACUUAAUAAGGCUGAAAACUUUCCUUCAUAUGCACAGGGCAGGGUUAUUCAUUUAUAUCGGAACAGAAAUGAGUGUAUGAUUUGGUGUUUGUGCCUUCUAUCUGCAAAUUAUUUUGUAUAAUGACCUUCUUUCGAACAGCAAACUGAGAGUGUUUGAAACUAUCAAAAUUCUGGAGUUUGCCAGGCACAGUGGUAUACGCCUAUAAUUCCAGCAGCUUGGGAGGCUGGAGCAGAAGGAUCAUGAGUUCAAAGCCAGCCUCAGCAAAAGUGAAGGGCUAAACAGUGAGACCCUGUCUCUAAAUAAAAUUCAGAAUAGGGCUAGGGAUGUGGCUCAGUGGUUGAGUGCCCCUGAGUUCAAUCCCCUGCACCCCUCGUCCGCAAAAGAAAGAGACUUAACUGACUUUGCCAACACCCUCCUUUUCUUGCCUUCCUUCUCCUACCUGUGCAUCAUCCAGAGACUUCAUUCUCUAACCAUCUCACUCUCCAUUAGUCUUCCUCAACUUGCAAUGGUCUUCUGCAUUUAGUAAAGAAAAUUCAGAAUUUUAGAUUUUCCUCACCUCAUCUAAAUCUCUUCAGCUUCUACAUCACAGUUCAGUCUCUGUAUGUCACCUUCACUGCUGCUAUUCUGCCUUUAUCCCCAUUACAAAGUGGUUUGAUCUUAAUUAAUUGCCUCUAAUGGAAGUGUCAGGUAAAUAGAAGGUUAGAAGAACCUAAAGAAGGUUAAAAUUCUUUUGUCUUGACAAAUCUGAAUAGUAAUAGAGCUGAGUUAAUUGACUUUUUACAUAUGGGAUACUUACUCCAACAGAACUAUUUGGGCACAAAAGCACUAAAGCAAGCCGAGAGAGCGCAGGGAGCAGAACAGAGAGCACCUAUGAGCAAGAUGGAACAGGACACCAAUCAGAUAAACACCAUUCCAUUGAUUUGAUUUUGUUUCCAAAAAUCCUGGAAGGCUAACCCAAUCCUAUUUGGCUUAUAAACAAAGGAAAUGUAAUGCUAACAUCUCAUAGCACACACUUUUUUUUUUUUCCCAUUUCUGUAUCCUCUGGUUAGAGUAUCAUUUUGAUCUAGUUGUUCCAUUCUUCCUUGUUACUUUUUAUAGUUUACUUGGUGAACUGAAACUAUAUCUUUCAUUAUGGUAAAAAUUCCAAAGAAAACUAAUCAUCAGAUGAUCUGAAAGCAAAAUGGAAAUAAAGAAUGGCAGAUGGUUCAUUCAGCAAAACAAUGACUGAAAUCUCCACUUAUUUAACAUAAAAUAAAUUGUUUCUAAGUAAAUUCAUUUUUUAAAAAAGAUAACUGCAUUACGCACAUUAGUGGAAAUAUUUUUUAAAUAUAUAUUAAGGAAAUGCAGUAUCUUCAAAGAGUAAACUUCGGCAAAGUGUUUCUUGAUAACCUUAAAAAAAACAUUUGUGAACCUAAGUUUCUCUUCAGAUAUUCUAGAAAUUAGAGACACCCAUAUACUAAAUGGGUUAAGAUGAUUAAGGUUUUAGAGCUCAGGUCUAUUUUUCACUGAUCAUCUUUUUCUUCUUCAUUUUCUACAUUUAAGCCUGGCUUAUAUCAGAGAAGACAUUCGGCAUUUGGUUUUGGGGGAUUGGCUAACUUAACUUAGCAUUAUAUUCUCCAACUUCAUCCAUUUAUCUGCAAAUGUCAUGAUUUUAUUCUCUUUUAUUAUUGAGUAAUAUUCCAUUGUGUUUAUAUGCCAAUUUUCUUUAUCUAUUCAUUUACUGAUGGGCAUCUAGAUUGGUUCCACAGUUUGGCUAUUGUGAAUUGUGCUGCUAUAAACAUUGAUGUGGCUGUGUCCCUGUAGUAUGCUGUUUUUAAGUCCUUUGGGUAUAGACUGAGGAGUAGGAUAGCUGAGUCAAAUGGUGGUUCCAUUCGAAGUUAUCCAAGGAAUGUCCAUACUGCUUUCCAUAUUGGCUGUACCAAUUUACAGUCCCACAAGCAAUGUAUGAGUGUGCCUGUUUCCCACAUCCUCACCAAAACUUAUUGUUGUUUGUAUUCUUAAUAGCUGCUAUUCUGAUUGGAGUGAGAUGAAAUCUUGAAGUAGUUUUGAUUUGCAAUUCUCUAAUAGCUAUAGAUAUUGAACCUUUUUUCAUAUAUUUGUUGGUGCACCUGGUACAUUGAAGAUAUUCAGUAACUGUUAAUUGUGGAGAAAAUUGUUUAUAAUGAGCUCUAUAGUAAAAAUUAGCAAGUUGAUCUGGAAAGCUCUGUGUGGGUAAAAUAUAUGCUUUGUAACCCUGGAAAUUUUAUACCUGUUUUGCUUCAUUUUUUAAUUGUUUUCCUUUUACAAUUAAUAAUUAGGUGAAGGAUAGGAGGCAUAUUUCCAUAGGGAAUCAUAACAAAAUUUUCAGAGUGGGUUCCUUAAACUAUAUAAGCUGUGUCACUGCCAGUUUAGUAUGCUGCUUCACCUGGCUCAAGGACAAAGGACAACUUCUUUGCCAGUUAAUGAGAGACUUAUAGUUCAGAGUCUAAGAAUUAGACUUAUGUAAUAUUUUGUUUCCGGUUAUUUUUAAUUGGAAAUCUAUUUAACCUUCCAUUCAGGAGUUAGAGGUUAAGCAUCUGGCAGAAAAUGAGAAAUAGCCAAAAUAUCCAGUAGUAAGGGAAUAAAUAAAUAAUGUAUGACAUGCAUAUAAUGGAAUAUUAUGUAUCCACUAAAAUCAGCAAUAGAGGGAGGGUUUCAAGAUAGUGGUUUAGCAUGAGGCAGCAUUUCUCUUAGCUUGGCUACCCAAAACUCAAGGUCUAGGGUGAAAAUUCCUGGUUCUGGAGGGUCAGUCUAUCAGCUGAACCAGAGACUGUUUGACUCAUGAAUCUGAUAUAUUUAAAAAUGGGAAAACCCCUCUCCAUUGGUCCAUGAUCCAGGAGCAAUUUUGGGAUUGCAGCAUGGCCAAGCCUAAGCAAACUGGAAACCCAGAUACAUGAAUUUGUCUUUCCCCAGGGGAAUACAGGUUAGAGGUGGGAGAGAGCCAGACUCUCUCCAGCUCUGUGCCCAGCUCAUGGGGUCUGUCAGGACUGGUUACAGAAGUUGGAGCAGGAAAGUUGGAAGAGGAUGUGAAGGCAUUGUGCCCACAGCUCAGCCAGCCAGCCUAUCCAGUACCUACAGGGCUCCUGGGGCCUGCCCCCACCCCUCAGGGUCCUGAGUCCCACCAGGUUCAGCAUCAGUCCAGCACCAAAUAGGGCCAUCUGCCUCCCUAGUCCCCAGUCCCUCCUGCGCUCCUGACUCGGCCCAUUGCUCACAGCUUCUUGGCUGGCCCACAGAAUGCAAUGCAUAGCCUUGAUCUGCUGGCAUCGAACAGCUGAAUCCCCAACGUGACCAGGCCCAAAAUUUCCCCAUACCCUGAAUAGCUGUCAGAACUUCUCAGCCCAGAGCGCUUCUCACCUGCAACUGUAGGUCCCAGCACUUGCCAGCAAGUUCCCCAGUGCCUGACCUUAUCCAUCCAUGCAGAACAGCUGGGCCCCAUGAGGCCAGGCUCCAACUUGCACCACACACUGCUUAGCUACUGGACCCGCCCACUUCAGUGCACAGCUUUACAACUGCCCACAGGUUCCAGCACAUUCCCACAGGUUCUGGCCACACUUGAUCCUCCCUGUGCUGAUCAGCUGGAUCCCUGACUUAGCUGGCCCCAACUUGCAUCACAAGCCACUUGGCUGGGGAACUCACCAGGUAUAGCGCUCAGCUUCAUAGCUGCCCUCGAAUCCUUGUGCCAGCCUGCAGGUUCCUGCACCUGGCCUUGAUUCACCCACGCAGAAGAGAUAACAACCCUACCUAAUGCUGAGAAGGGAAGCUAACAAACUUUUGAACUUCAAUGGAAACAAUUAUUCAAUAUUUCAUCAAGAUUUUUAAAAAAUUAUCUUUUCUUUUUUCGUCUCACAUUUCUACCAUUUUUGAAAGCAACCAUUUUUCAUGCAUCAGUUUAUUGAGGACUGGGCUGUCUGAAUAGUAUAUUUCAGUUUUGCUUUGAAUUCUUUCUUUUAUACCUUUCUCUUUCUACUUUUAAUUUUUAAAAAAUAUUUAUUAUAUAUGUUUUUUUCCCUCUCAUCUGUUUCCCUUGAUGCCCUUUCUUUCUUUUCUCCUAUCAGCUUUGAUUUUUCCCCUUUUCACUUUUCUUAUAUUUUUUUACUUCUAUCUUCUCUCCUCCUUCCUAAUAAACAUCACAUUCUACACCACUCCUGUUCUCUCUUUGUCCACCAUCUGAAAUUGUAAACCCUUUUGCAAACUUACUAUUUUUAUUGUAGGCAAUAACUGAACACAUCAUUUCUGUUUAUUGCAACAAUAUCGUAGACAUUGUAUAGGGGCUACUUGGUUUAAGGCUAUAUAUUGUUUGCAUUGGUCUCUGUUAUUAUUGUCUCCCCCUUAAAGGCAAGUUACUGGAAACCUUCAGCAAUACUCAAAGUCCACAGGGUAGAAACUUUACUGCUUCAGAUCAACACUGCUGGAUGGUUAGACACAAGCAGCAUGAAAAAACAAGAGAACAAAUUGCCCCAAACAAACCAAGAGUCACCAACAAUAGAAUCCAAUGACCCCACAGUUAAAGAAAUCUCAGAGAAGGAUUCAUAGUUGUACAUAGUUAAACUGAUCUGUUAGGUAAAGAAAAAUGUAAGGAAUGAAAUGAGAGAGAAAAUUCAAGAGGUAAAAGAUCACUUAAGUUAAGAGAUAGAGAUUUUGAAAAGAAAUCAGGCAGAAAUACUCAAAAUGAAGGAAAAAAAUAAACAAAAUUAAAAAGUCAAUGGAAAACAUCACCAACAGAUUAGACCACUUGGAAAGCAGAACCUCAGGCAUUGAAGACAAAAUAUAUAAUCUUGAAAAUAAAGGUGACCACACAGAGAAGAUAUUAAGAAACCAUAAAAAGAACUUCUGAAAAAUAUGGGACAACAUGAAAAGACCAAAAUUAAGAUUUAAUGGAAUGGAUGAAGGUGCAGAGAUACAGACCCAAGGAAUGCACAAUCUUUUCAAUGAAAAAAAAAAUCAGAAAAUUUCCCAAACCUAAAAAAUGAAAUGGAAAAUCAAAUACAAGAUGCUUACAGGACUAUAAAUGUACAAAAUUACAACAGACACACACCAAGUCAUAUGGACAUAUGGUUUGCUCCUACUUCUUGGCUGUGGUGAGUAGUGGUACUAUAACAUGAGUGCCUAGGAGGACUUCUUUAAUCCCUCCACCUUCCUCUUUUUUCUAUAAGGAAUUUAUUUUUGCCACUCUUAAAGGAAUGUGGGUUCUUCCCCACCUUGUUCUCACUUUGCCCAGGCUGCUGCUCUACCCUUCACGGUACACACUGAUAACUUUCAAGGUGAGGCAUGUACAAAUCUGAACACUAUUUGUAUUGCAAUAGACAUAUGCAUUAAUAUCCACUCUUAUACAUAGCUAACUUGUAAAAUUCUAGGGAAGAGUAUUGUCUAAACUGCAUAAAGGUCAGCCUCCAUUUUUCCAGUUUAUUAAAAUUUUAGACACUAAUUUUUAUCACAAAAAUAGAAAGGAGCAAUUUAAAAUUAUGAGGUGAGUCAUUAAGUCAGAUGGUCUUCUAAGGAAGACAAAUGUUUAGGAUCAUCUGCUGCAAUUACUUUUCCAUGUUGUGUGUUAAAAUAGAACAUCUGAUAUAUGAACUGUGUGUGUAUGUGUAUUUAAAGUGCUUGAUUAACAAAUUUCAGUUAUUCAUCAGGUUAAUUAGCAUGACUGAUUUUUUAAACAAAAUUCAUGGUUAACCCAUAUAAUUUUUAGCUAACCAAUUGAUUCCUAGAAGUAUACUGACAGAGCACUAUAAAAUCCAUGCAAGAAAAAUAACCAACUGUAGGAGAGCUAAUGAUUCUUUGUUUGUAUGUGUUUUUCAUUCAAAUGAGUCUAUCUGUAAGUUUUGCAGCCAGUUUAAACUGUGAAAGUUCUUAAGAUGUCUCCAAACUUUCUUGCUUUCAGGAGCUGAUUUUAGUUCUGAUAUUGUUUCAUGUAUUAAGUCUUAUAAAAAGGAGAUAAGCAAAAAUAACAUUUCCUCAAUUAAAAGAUACAUAUUUUUGGUUUAUAAAAGUUGAAUAAAUGCAAGUAUAUAAUCCAUCAUCAUCAUGUUUAAAUUUUUUCAUCAUUCAUGUUUAUUUUUAAAUUUGUACCAAAGUGAUCUCAUUAAAAAGAAAUGGGUUAGAGAUAAUGUAGCAAACUAAUUAUUUACUUCAACAGCAAGAGAGUAAACUCAUGCAUCAGGUAACCACAGAAGACAUUCGACAUUGCAAAAGUCGUCUAGUUGCCUUUUUACCACCAGGUUACUACUAGCCAUAGUAACUUUUGUUUGAUCUUACCCUCAAAACACAUGUGGGAGAUUUGUGGAUUUCCCAUAAAAAUCAGCUUCCACAUAAAAGUUGGAUUCAUUCUAUUAAGUACAAAAUGUUUCCUUUAAGAUUAAAAGCUGAAGUCUGGUCUAACAUGGAGCUUCUUAAUCUGAAUAUCAAAAGGUAUCACCUCUCUUUUAGAACCUUCAGAUAUGGUGUGAUAUUCAGAAUUAAAAAGCAAGUGCAUGACAAAUUUCCAUAUCUCUGGAAAAGAUAAAAGAAUUCCGCUGUGGCAUACUAAGGACAUUUUCUAAAUUAUGUAAUUUCUGGUUUCACUGUAAAGGUGUAAGCUUAUAUCAAAACUGAAAUUAAAAUUCAGAUAGCCUGUGUCAGCAAUCUUGGGUCCUAUCGUCAUAGAAUAAUGGGAGAUAGCUUUAAUUACAUUUUGAUCCAAAAAGAGUGUCUAUCUAGCAACCUUUCAAUGUCUGCUUGAGAAAAACAAUAUUUGCAGACAAAAUCAUCCCUGGCAAAAGCAGGUUUCUUGAAGUUAAGGUCCAGGAAAGAAGGGGCUUUUAUGAAUUGCUCAAUGCUCUAUCCCCAUAAACUAGAACACUAUCUGCUCACAGGAAAUAUUUUUAAAAAGAAUAAAUUUGGGUACAUAGAGCUCACUCCCAGGACAAUCAUAACCCAGUCUCAGUUUUAGUUCCCAUGCAACUCAAAUCUGUCCAUAGCUUUGCAUAUGUACAACUACCAAUAAAAACAGCCUCCUCUCUACCUGGUGUCCUUGCUUCCACUCUGGUCCUUUCUAUGGUGGACAGAUAUAAAAGAUGUCUAUGUUCUCAUCUCCAGAAUUUGUGUAUAAGUUACUCUUAUGAUAAAGAGGUAUUAAGGUUGCGGGUGGAAUUAAUGGUGCUCAUCAGCUGGUCGUGAAAUGGGGGAGAUUAUUUUGUAUUAAAUGGACAAGCCCAAUGCAACCUCAAGUGUCCUUGUGGAAAAUUGAUGCAGAAGAAUUAGUUUCCAAGUAUGUGAGAAAGACUUGUCCAACCAGGUCUGGCUUUGAAGAUGUGAGGGGGCCUUGAGCCAAGGAAUGUGAGUAGCCCCUCGAAUCUGGAAAAUACAAGAAAAUUGUUUCCUAUCCUAAAGACUCCAGAAAGGAAAGCACCAACCUGCUACUUAUUUUGGCCAGUGAGACCUGUUAUGAAGUUUUGAAGAACAGAAUAUUAAAAUAAUAAAUUUAUAUGGCUUACGCCAAUAUGUUUGUGGUAAUUUGUUACAGCAGCCAUAGAACACUAAUAUAGCCUCUAAAUGGAUCUUGUCAGCAAUAGCUUCCCAUCCAGAACUCUUUGUAAAACACUUGAAUGAUUUUGCUAACCCUCUUGAUAUAAAGACCACAUUCUGUAAUGAGCCCUGCCUCACUGCCCUUCCCUGACUUUCUGGUCUUCUUCCAAGCUUACACCAGCCUUUUUGAUGCCAUAUGGUACCUUCUAACACAGGAUCUCUUCAAUUUGCUGGUUCCUGCUUUCCCUUCAAACCUCAGCUGAAAAGUCAUUUUCUCAAGGUGUCUCUGACCUCCAAAACCAGGUCAGCUUUUAAUUAGCUGCUGUGAUAACUCUGGACAAUGAGCCUCUCAGAUGUGUAAUUAGCAAAGGUGAGAUUUCACCUUUGUUUAUGUGAUUCCUUGAUAAAGUCUGUAAUCUUGGUGGAACCCUUCUUCUUCUCUCAUCAUAUUUCCCAUGCUUAUCAUGAUAACUGACACACAGUGGGCACUCAAUACAGUUUUUUUUUUUUGAGUGAAUGGGUGAAGCUGGAUUUCUAAUAGUCUGUGUCUCUGGGUUGUUUGGGGUUAGCCCCUUAGAGAAUUCUCCCUCACUGAAAAGCAUUUCAAUGUUACUCUCUUAUCAAAGGAUACUAUAGAAAAUAGUCCCAUGAAAUCUGUUAGCUGUAUUUCCUGUAGGGCUUUUGGUGAGAUUUUUUUUUCCCUCAUUAUAUUACUCAUUUUUCUUUAUACCAUGUAAUGAAAAAUAAUUUAUUUUUCAUCCUGUUUUGGAAUAACUUUGCUUUCCCAGAGUAAUCUGUUUUUGUUUUGUAGUGGACACGAGGGGAGCUGCCCAAAUCCAUGACCUUCAGGACUAAAGCACACAUAACCCAGCUCCUGGGAGAAUUGAUAGCUGAUGACUUGCAGCUAAAGCCCGUUUCUACCCCGCCCUCCCUUCCCCUCUGUUGAGGGAAUCCACCUGGUCCAACACAACCCCUAGCAGAACAGCCUGCAAUCACAGAGGGCUCAAGCCUCUGUCAUGGGUGAGGAGUAGAAAGGCUGUGUUACCCAAAGGAACAACUCUGCAUAGUUAUUUCAAUUACAGCUCUAACUACAGGGAGCCUUCGUUUUCUCUCCUCAUAGCUCAAUUUACCUCUGUCAGGCUGUUCUUGCUGCCCAAUAGGUGCUAAUCCUGAGAGAAGGAAACUUCCCCAAUCAAAUCUCUGCCUCUGCAUUUUCUUCCUGGAGUGCAUGAUUUAGGACCCCUUCCUUCUCCAAAAUGAGAACUGUGUGAUCAUAUCUCCCUGAUCACAUCCCACCUAGAGGCUAAGAAACCCAGUUAAAGAAGUUUAAAUUGCUUACAUGAUCUACAUAUUCAUAGGUUUGGGCUAACUUAGCUAUUUGCAUACCUGACUGUCCAAAUGAUUUCUCUCUUUUUUUUCACAUUAUAACAUCAUUUUACCAUAUUCUGACUUUAAUGUGCCUCUGAUUCUUUGCAGAAGAAGACGAUUUCAAUGAGCAAAUAAACCAAAUAAAUAGGAAUAUAGAGUCUGUUUGGAAGGUAAAAAUAAACCUCAAAAUACAGAGAUUUAGGUGUACUUAAGAUGUAUUGAAAUUUUUUGCACUAAGAACAGAUAGAUGUGUUCCACUAUUAAGCAUUUCAGUUGAUUUUCCUGCCCCUGGGGUACAACCAUGACUACUGAAGUAAAAACCAGACAGAAAGAAAAGAUGUGCAUGCACUCAUAUUUUCCUUUGAAUUUACUUCCUAAGAAGCAAGCUAGGCGAAUAGAAGAGCUAACUGUGAAAUGGGAAAUUCAGGAGGCAGAUGGUCCAUGGAUUAGUCAAUCCUCCACAUCUUCCCUCUUAGGCGAUUGUCAGAAAAUUGCUUUCAUUAGGAUGGCCUGAUUCCCUGCCACUUCAAGCCAUUCAUCUCCAGAGAAAUGAAGCAGUGUGCAGUCUAAAUUGCUCCUAUAAAGCGGACAUAACUCUUCUUCUCAGUUCCUCAUUUUUCAAACUCUUGUAACCAAAGUUACCAGACACAAAAAUAGCCUGAGGAUUAGAUAACAGAACGUUUCAGUUAUUCAAUUCAUUUACAUGACUCUCAUACGUUUAUCACUUUUGGCAAGCAGAAAACAAAGCUUUGGACACUGUGUUUUGCUGGGAUAAGUGAAUUAUAGGGCCUGCUAACAUUCCUGAUAAACUGCUUCUUGAUCCCAUAUCAAAGAUAUUUAUGUUUUCUGAUUCUAUUUCCUCUUUGAAAUUUCAUUUCAAAAAAUGAAAUCAGAAAUAUGAACUUCCUUGAUAAUGACAAGGGAAGUGCCAGGAUCUCUUCUCUUUUUGCAGUUAAGGUCUUUGAGAACACUAAAUCCCUAGAUAAGAGAAGUCUUUAUGUAACCAGAGGCCUAUUUAUUUAAUAUGAUGCAUUUCCCACCAGCAGAAAACUUCUUGCAGCCAGGAGUCCUUAUAUUUAAUGUAGUCUUCAGAGACCAUAAUAACCCACAUUUACCUGAGUAAUAUGUAAUGUUCUUGCAGAGAUAGAGAGAUUCUAGAGGUUCAUUCAACACUUUACUUACCUGUUUAGUACUCUGUAUUAUGAAUACAAACUAAGAUCCUUUUAUAAAAACAAUAGGAGAUAUGGUUAAAAUCUGUUUUAAGUUGAUUCCCAAGUAUUUUAUUUUUUUGAGGUUAUUGUAAAUGGGGUAGUUUUCCUCAUUUCCUUCUCAGAGGAUUUGUCACUGUUAUACAGAAAUGCCUUUGAUUUAUGGGUGUUGAUUUUAUAUCCUGCUAUUUGCUGAAUUCAUUUACUAGUUCUAGAAGUUUUCUAGUGGAGCUUUUUGGGUCUUCUGGGUAUAGAAUCAUAUAGUCAACAAAUAGUGAUAACUUAAGUUCUUCUUUUCCUAUACAUAUCCCUUUAAUUUCUUUCAUCUGUCUAAUUACUCUGGCCAGUGUUUCAAGAACUAUGUUGAAUAGAAGUGGUGAAAGACAGCUUGUUCCUGUCUUGUUCCAGUUUUUAGAGGGAAUGCCUUUAAUUUUUCCCCAUUUAGAAUGAUGUUGGCCUGAGGCUUAGCAUAGAUAGCCUUUAUGAUGUUGAGAUAUGUUCCUGUUAUCCCUAGUUUUUCUAGUGUUUUGAACAUGUAAAGGUGCUGUAUUUUGUCAAAUGUUUUUUCUGCCUCUAUUGAGAUGAUCAUAUGAUUCUUAUUUUUGAGUCUAUUGAUGUGGUGAAUUACUUUUUUUGAUUUCCAGGUGUUGAAAAAACUUGCAUCCCUCGGAUGAAUCCAACUUGAUCAUGGUGCACUAUCUUUUUGAUAUGUUUUCUUAUUCCAUUUGCCAGAAUUUUAUUGAGAAUUUUUGCAUACAAUGAAAACUACAGAACCCCAAAGAAAAAAAAUCAAAGAAGGCCUUAGAAGAUGGAAAGAUCUAUCUUGCUCUUGGACAGGCAGAAUUAAUAUUAUUAAAAUGACCAUACUACCAAAAGCACUAUACAGAUUUAAUGCAAUUUUGAUCAAAAUCCCAAUGGCAUUCCUCAUAGAAAUAGAAAAAGUGAUCAUGAAAUUCACCUGGAAAAAUAAGAGACCCAGAAUAGCUAAAGCAAUUCUUAGCAGGAAGAAUGAAGCAGGUGGCAUCAGUAUACCAGACCUUAAACUGUACUACAGAGCAAUACUAACAAAAACAGCAUGGUAUUGGCACCAAAACAGACUGGUACACCAAUGGUACAGAAUAGAGGACACAGAAACUAACCCACAAAACUACAAUUAUCUUCUAUUAGACAAAAGUGCCAAAAAUAUGCAUUGGAGAAAAGAUAGCAUCUUCAACAAAUGAUGCAGGGAAAAUUGGAAAUCCAUAUGCAACAAAAUGAAAUUAAACCCCUAUCCCUCAUCAUGCACAAAAUUCAACUCAAAGUGGAUCAAGGACCUAGAAAUUAAACCAGAAAUUCUGUGUCUAAUAGAAGAAAAAGUAGAUCCUAAUCUUCAUCAUGUGGGACUAGGCCCCAACUUCCUUAAUAAGACUUCUAUCGUGCAAGAAUUAAAUCCAAGAAUCAAUAAGUGGGAUGGAUUCAAAUUAAAAAAAUUUCUUCUCAGCCAAAGAAACAAUCUGUGAGGUGAACAGAGAGCCUACAUCUUGGGAGCAAUUUUUUUACUAUUCACAAAAAGCUAAGCACCAAAAAACCAAAUAUCCCAAUCAAUAAAUGGGCCAGGGACCUGAACAGACACUUCUUGGAAGAGGACAUACAAUAAAUCAACAAAUAUAUGAAAAAAUGUUCAUCAUGUCUAGCGAUUAGAGAAAUGCAAAUCAAAACUACUCUAAAUAUCAUCUCACUUCAGUCAGAAUGGCAGCUAUUAUGAAGACAGACAACAAUAAGUGUUGGCAAGGAUGUGGGGUAAGAAGGCACACUCGUACAUUGCUGGUGUGAGUGCAAAUUGGUGCAGCAUUAUGGAAAGUAGUAUAGACAUUCCUUGGAAAUCUGGGAAUGGAACCACCAUUUGACUCUGCUAUCUCUCUCCUCGGUCUAUACUCAAAGGACUUAAAAACAGCAUACUACAUGGACACAGCCACAUCAAUGUUUAUAGCAGCACAAUUCACAAUAGCUAAACUAUGGAGCCAAUCUAGAUGCCCUUCAGUAGAUGAAUGGAUAAAAAAAUAUGGCAUAUAAACACAAUGGAAUUUUACUCAGCAAUAAAAGAGAAUAAAAUCAUGGCAUUUGCAGGUAAAUGGAUGGCUUUGGAGAAGAUAAUGCUAAAUGAAGUUAGCCAAUUCCUAAAAAACCAAAUGCCGAAUGUUUUCUCUGAUAUAAGGAGGCUGAUUCAUAGUGGAGUAGGGAGGGGGCACAUGGGAGGAAUAGACAAACUAACUCUAGAUAGG
RNAcentral lists this long non-coding RNA (28093 nucleotides) under Marmota monax (woodchuck). The stretch from base 11591 to 11662 matches the Rfam family "tRNA". The record is from RNAcentral. Lineage: Eukaryota; Metazoa; Chordata; Mammalia; Rodentia; Sciuridae.